GAAACGACUGCUAAUACCGCAUAAGCCCACGGCUCGGCAUCGAGCAGAGGGAAAAGGAGCAAUCCGCUUUGAGAUGGCCUCGCGUCCGAUUAGCUAGUUGGUGAGGUAACGGCCCACCAAGGCGACGAUCGGUAGCCGGACUGAGAGGUUGAACGGCCACAUUGGGACUGAGACACGGCCCAGACUCCUACGGGAGGCAGCAGUGGGGAAUAUUGCACAAUGGGGGAAACCCUGAUGCAGCGACGCCGCGUGGAGGAAGAAGGUCUUCGGAUUGUAAACUCCUGUUGUUGAGGAAGAUAAUGACGGUACUCAACAAGGAAGUGACGGCUAACUACGUGCCAGCAGCCGCGGUAAAACGUAGGUCACAAGCGUUGUCCGGAAUUACUGGGUGUAAAGGGAGCGCAGGCGGGAGAACAAGUUGGAAGUGAAAUCCAUGGGCUCAACCCAUGAACUGCUUUCAAAACUGUUUUUCUUGAGUAGUGCAGAGGUAGGCGGAAUUCCCGGUGUAGCGGUGGAAUGCGUAGAUAUCGGGAGGAACACCAGUGGCGAAGGCGGCCCACUGGGCACCAACUGACGCUGAGGCUCGAAAGUGUGGGUAGCAAACAGGAUUAGAUACCCUGGUAGUCCACACCGUAAACGAUGAUUACGAGGUGUUGGAGGAUUGACCCCUUCAGUG
Molecule: ribosomal RNA, 676 nt
Filed under: uncultured bacterium
Lineage: Bacteria
Description: bacterial SSU rRNA
Rfam family: Bacterial small subunit ribosomal RNA
Source: RNAcentral